CAUGCUUAACACAUGCAAGUCGCACGGACCCUUCGGGGUUAGUGGCGCACGGGUGAGUAACACGUAGGAAUCUGUCUUGAGGNGGGGGAUAACUCCGGGAAACUGGAGCUAAUACCGCAUGAUAACUGAGGUUCAAAGGUCGCAAGACCGCCUUGAGAGGGGCCUGCGUUCGAUUAGUUAGUUGGUGGGGUAAUGGCCUACCAAGACGAUGAUCGAUAGCUGGUUUGAGAGGAUGAUCAGCCACACUGGGACUGAGACACGGCCCAGACUCCUACGGGAGGCAGCAGUGGGGAAUAUUGGACAAUGGGGGCAACCCUGAUCCAGCAAUGCCGCGUGUGUGAAGAAGGUCUUCGGAUUGUAAAACACUUUCGCUGGGGACGAUGAUGACGGUACCCAAAGAAGAAGCCCCGGCUAACUUCGUGCCAGCAGCCGCGGUAAUACGAAGGGGGCGAGCGUUGCUCGGAAUAACUGGGCGUAAAGGGCGCGUANGCGGCCGAUAGCUGUCANAUGUGAAAUUUUUGGGCUCAACCCGAAAACUGC
This 540-nucleotide ribosomal RNA is filed under the name uncultured Acetobacter sp. RNAcentral describes it as "bacterial SSU rRNA". It matches the Rfam family "Bacterial small subunit ribosomal RNA", at positions 43 to 624 of the family's 1533-position model. The record is from RNAcentral. Lineage: Bacteria; Pseudomonadati; Pseudomonadota; Alphaproteobacteria; Acetobacterales; Acetobacteraceae.